ACUCUUUCCCUUAUUUUCCUUGAUUAACGCGGCUUCUCAAACACGGUUUCAUAAUACGUCCUCUCUCUUCAAUCAAUCCUUAAACCCUAAUUUCAAUUUCAUACAUCUCUGCCUGUUCUGUCGCUGAUUAUCUUCAAAUCAAGGUUAGGUUACCGAUGAAAGCUAUUAAUCAUGUUUUAUUUGUUAUUCGAAUCGGAACAGAUAUGCGAUUUCUGUUCGUUCACAUCGUUCCUUAUCUUCUUGGUUUGCAUUUGAUCACAACAGGUUUUGUGUCGAUUUCUCUCUAAAAUUAUGGUCAACUUCUCUCUAAAUUAAGUUUAAUUUUGUUAAUUAUUGCGAUUUUAGAGCCAAUUCAAUUCGGAAUCAUGUUGUUAUGAACGCCACUACGUUUUGGUAUUGUCAAUGUUUUAUUGAUUAGGAUAAUUUUGGUUUCUCUUUUGAGUUUUGGGGAUACUAGGGUUUUAGAUCUACGAUUUAGGUUAUCAAAUCUACGAUUAUGGAUUUUAGAAACAAAAAUCGUUCUAGGGUUUCGAUUUUUAUUUGAAUGUAGCUGUUAUUUAAUUGAUGUUAGCUCUUUCCCCAUCAUAUUUACACUAAUUUCUAAUUUCUAUACAUAUAGUAUGUCUCUGUAUUUGGUCUAGGGCCUUUAUAAACUACAUUGGUGAAAAUGGAAAUUGGCUUUGGCAAAGAUGAUUGCUAUACAAGCCGGAAAAGGAAUAAGAGCUCCGGUGAACACUCCGAAAAGGUAAUCAAUUGCUAUUGUUCGUGUCGUUUUCCUUCUGAAUGAACACUCCGAAAAGGUAUCUAUUUAUGUUUAUGUGUUGUAUUUUACUAAACAAUGGAUCUCUUUUUAUUUACUUUACUAAUGUUUUUUGAGAUCAUAGAGAUAAAAUAACUAAUUUGGCCUCCAAACCCGAUAUAUCGAACUAAAAUUGAGCAUAUUCUUUAACUGAAGACAAGCACUAAAUUUGAUGUUUUUGAUCUGGGUCAUCAAAAAGAUCCGGUUUCCAAUCUGGGUUAUGAAAAAGAUCCAGUUUGUAAUAUGGGUUUGCAAAAGGUUGUUUUGAAUCAAGGGCAUGACUAAGUAGACAAGAAAUCAUUGAUGGUGGCUGGAACAGAGCAAGGAUUACAUCAAACCGGCCCGACUACGCCCCAAAACUACCACCAGCAGUAGCAGCUUAUCUGUGAUCAGCUAUUCGUCGGGGCUGAACAAUGAAAAAUUAUUUGAUUUACACUAACACAUAACUUAGUGACCUGGUGACUUUUUAAAUAACUGCUCUUGGUGAAUUUAUAAAAAAAUGGAUACUAAUAGGUGGUCAAAAGUCUCUUCUUUAUUUUUAUUUUAUGGCUAGAAAAUAUAAAAUUUGAUAGUGACCUGGUGACUUUUCUAACAAUUGGAACUGGUGAAUUUUUUUAAAAAUUGGAUACUAACAGGUGGUCAAAAGUGUUUUCUUAUACUAACAUACGCCUUAUUGCAGCUAUCGACUUACAGCCACCAUCUUUGGCAAAACAAGAAGUGUGCCUAUCUUCCGUCGUUAAAGGUUUUUAAAAAUAUUCAUUCGAGAAACUAAGCAAAUGUAUUGAAUAUCCGAUCCAAUUCCUAUGAUAAAUGGACGUUGGAAAACCAUCGGCAGAAGAGAGAGUUAAGACGGUGUUGAUGUAGACGACUAAGAGUCACAAGGUGCAGUCACCCACUGUCUCGCCGAACGCCGGUUCACUUCCACUGCCAUGACCACAACCUUCGUUCCCACAUUAACAUUAGUAUACAUCAGAGAGUGUAAAAACAUACGUUAGCUCCGGUGUUAAUCUGAUUACUAAGGAGGAAUAAGUUGAGAAGAUCUCAUCAAUUUCAGUAGCAGUUGACGUAGAUCAGUCAAUUAUAGAUGUAAUUCGAAUCGUCUGAGCCUUGGACUUCAAAUAUGGUUAUUACAACCUCGCUUACAUAUCUGAGCGUUGAAGGAUGUUUUGAUAAACAAAGGGGGUACUUAAUUGGUUGUUUUGGAUGGGAUUCCAGGACAACUAAAUCCUUGGAAACUUAUGCCAGAAUCGUGUGUCGAUGUGUGAUAAGGACCCCUGAAGAGCUGCUCUGCCAUGGUUGAGGUUGUCGUAGAACUCGAGAAAACACCGAGAUAACAGCAGGAUUGAUGGGAAAUAGUGGAGGCGUUUCCAACACUGCAGGGAAAUUGGCACACAUGACCAUUGGUUCAGGAUUUUGUUAAGAGGCAUUUUAGCUACAAUUUUGUUGGAGCUCUAAAAUGUAGCCAAAAUGGAUUGGAAGCAUUAUCUAAAAAGUUUGUUCACAUAACAAACUUCCAAAAUGUCUAGAUAUUGUGUUCCACUCAACUUAGUUGGUCAAAUUGAAGAGUUAUUAAGGAAUGAAAUGAAUGCAUAUUUCUCUUCUCCGCCGCCUCACAUGCUCCAGCCGUUUCUCUCCUCCAAACCCUAAUCCCAAAUUUGUUGUCCUCCAUUGAUCGUCGCCUCCAGUUACAGCAUGUUUUCAAGAUGGAGCAAGAAGAAUAUUCUAAAGAGGAAAUAGACUGGAGUUACAUACAGUUUGAGGAUAAUCAAGAUAUUUUAGAUCUCAUUAAAAGUUCAGAAACCAGAAACCUGGGGGGAUCCUUGCUCUUCUGGAUGAGGCUUGAUAUGUUGUUCAAGGGCUUAUUCCAUGUCACGGGUCACUGGAAGUGAUACAAUUUUCUUGAAGUAGAGACAUAGAGAAGAGUUUCUGUGAUAUGUUGUUCAAGGGCUUAUUCCAUGUCACGGGUCACUGGAAGUGAUACAAUUUUCUUGAAGUAGAGACAUAGAGAAGAGUUUCUGUGGAGCUAAAGAUAGAGAUACACACUAAAGACAGAGUUGGGUUAUUAUAUGAUGCUAUACGGUCAAUAGCGUCAUAUAACGGUGUCAAUACUUACAAGGCAGAGACCGGACGGUGGCCGGAGGACGGACGGUGGUGGUCGGAGUAAAGCUAGAUGAGUAGAGCAGGGUGAGGAACUUGAAUGGGGGUUUUAAGCAUCAUGGUGCUGCUCCACAGGUUAAAUUUACAAGUUUUGAUGCCAGAUUGCAUAAUGGUCAGUGAGCUUUAGCAAGAUUUAAGUUCUGCAGUUGUAAAGGACAGAACUAUUCUAUAUGGUGUCCAUGGGAGUGUCCACGGAUUACGGGGUGUGCACGGGGCGCUUCGGCUUUAAGCCUCCACCUGAACCGAGUUAUUCUACCUCGGUCACUAUCUCCCUCUUUCUAAUCGAGGAUUGGGGGUUUUAAGCAUCAUGGUGCUGUUCCGUAGGUAUUGCUUAAAUUUUUAUAUAAACAAUGUUGUUUUGUAUAGCUUUGUUGUUUGGUCACGAAUUUCAUAUGUUUGUUUGACGUAUAAUCCAUGAAGUGUUCUUUCGAAUUAUUGAUGUAUUUUUGUCAGCUUCUUUUUUAUAGAUUCAAACGGUUGGACCCUUGCUGUGGUGGGAAUACUUAUACAACAUAACUUGAUUGCUAAAAUUAGUGGAAUACAUAUUUUGGGUUUAUGUCAUUUAUGUUUUUAAACAUGAUAGUGUCCACGUGUGUGCAGGUUAAAUUUACAAGUUUUGAUGCCAGAUUGCAUAAUGGCCAGUGAAGUUUAGCAAGAUUCAAGUUCUGCAAUUGUAAAGGAUAGGUUAGUGGUAGGCAAGAGUUCAAAUGGAUUUAACUUGAACGAUGGGCUAAUAGUUGGAUAAAAAAGUAUUGUAAAUGGUCUUCGUGGUUGCAGUGAAGUUAGUGGUAUGAUUAGGUUACAAAGAAAUGAUUUUGAUUGUAAUUCAAUACAUCUGAUAACAUUUCUUAGGCAAAUUGCUAAACAAGGUGUAGACGUCAUUGACUUUUUGCUAUUAAGAAACAUGCCAGCCUCUUUACUAGACUUUCCCAGCCUCUUUACUAACCCUUUUUGGAGUUGUUUUGUUUCAUGGUCUAAUAUAAUGCAGCCUAGAUGUACACCUUCAAAAUUCGGCACUGAUGAUCAUGUUGGCUAGCCUUUGGUUGGCCAUAUUUUCACCUUCAUUACCCGUGGCGCAACAUAUGCAGGUCAUUACCCUUGGACUUAAAUCUUGAAACAAAUGAUAUUUUAAUUUGGUUUAUUUUUUUAAUGGAUUGUGCAACGGUACAAGGCUACAAGUAAAAAAGCUGCACAACCGUGUAAUAGAAGCCGAGAUAAUAUCUGGUGCAAAUAUUGGUAGUUGUACAUAUAUACCUCGAUUAAACUUGAUCCCUUCUGAUAAAAAGAUUCCUUUUGCUUUUCAAAGGAGGCAAUUUCCACUGGCCGUAUGUUUUGCAAUGACGAUCAACAAAAGUCAAUGUCAGUCUCUUUCAAGAGUUGGUUUGUACCUCAAACAACCUGUCUUCUCUCAUGGUCAAUUGUAUGUUGCCUUAUCAAAGGUGAAAACAAAAAAUGGAGUCAAAAUACUCAUACUUGACAACAACGGAAAAGCUACAGAUAAAACAACUAAUGUGAUGUAUAAAGAGAUUUUCAACGAAUUGUGAUAUCUGCAUAUUGAUGGUUAAUAAAAAGAUUUUACAUGAUCCGUUUCAA
This is a long non-coding RNA of Helianthus annuus (common sunflower), 4549 nucleotides long. RefSeq lists it as uncharacterized. The record is from RefSeq and is a predicted model, not a curated record. Lineage: Eukaryota; Viridiplantae; Streptophyta; Magnoliopsida; Asterales; Asteraceae. The transcript has 16 exons.